GGCCUCAUGGUCUAGUGGUAUGAUUCCUGCUUUGGGAUUUAGAUUCCUAAGCUGCAGGAGGCCCCGCGUUCGAAUCGCGGUGGGGCCC
Paraphaeosphaeria sporulosa is the source of this 88-nucleotide non-coding RNA. The record is from the annotation of a RefSeq genome assembly. NCBI's taxonomy places the organism in Eukaryota, Fungi, Ascomycota, Dothideomycetes, Pleosporales, Didymosphaeriaceae.